RNAcentral lists this ribosomal RNA (764 nucleotides) under uncultured bacterium. Its description in RNAcentral is "bacterial SSU rRNA". It matches the Rfam family "Bacterial small subunit ribosomal RNA", at positions 8 to 796 of the family's 1533-position model. The record is from RNAcentral.
AGAGUUUGAUCUGGCUCAGAAUGAACGUUGGCGGCGUGGAUUAGGCAUGCAAGUCGAGCGGACCCCGCAAGGGGUUAGCGGCGAAAGGGACAGUAAUGUGCAGAUACGUACCCUAGGGUUCGGGAUAGCCACGGGAAACUGUGGGUAAUACCGAAUAACAUCUCCGGAUCAAAGGUGUGAUUCCGCCCUUGGAUCGGUCUGCAUCCUAUUAGCUAGUUGGUGAGGUAACGGCUCACCAAGGCCAUGAUGGGUAGCGGGUGUGAGAGCACGACCCGCGUCAUUGGGACUGAGACACUGCCCAGACACCUACGGGUGGCUGCAGUCGAGGAUCUUCGGCAAUGGGCGCAAGCCUGACCGAGCGACGCCGCGUGCGGGAUGAAGGCCUUCGGGUUGUAAACCGCUGUCGUAGGGGAGGAAGGCCGGGUGAAGAGCCCGGUUUGACCUAGCCUAGGAGGAAGGGUGGGCUAAGUUCGUGCCAGCAGCCGCGGUAAGACGAACCACCCAAACGUUAUUCGGAAUUACUGGGCUUAAAGGGUGCGUAGGCUGUGCGGAAAGUUGGGUGUGAAAUACCUCAGCUUAACUGAGGAACUGCGCUCAAAACUACCGUGCUUGAGGGAGACAGAGGUAAGCGGAACUUAGGGUGGAGCGGUGAAAUGCGUUGAUAUCCUAAGGAACACCGGUGGCGAAAGCGGCUUACUGGGUCUCUUCUGACGCUGAGGCACGAAAGCUAGGGUAGCGAACGGGAUUAGAUACCCUAGUAGUCC